This 497-nucleotide ribosomal RNA is filed under the name uncultured bacterium. RNAcentral describes it as "partial 16S ribosomal RNA". It matches the Rfam family "Bacterial small subunit ribosomal RNA", at positions 28 to 507 of the family's 1533-position model. The record is from RNAcentral.
GACGAACGCUGGCGGCGUGCCUAAUACAUGCAAGUAGAACGCUGAAACUUGGUGCUUGCACCGAGCGGAUGAGUUGCGAACGGGUGAGUAACGCGUAGGUAACCUGCCUGGUAGCGGGGGAUAACUAUUGGAAACGAUAGCUAAUACCGCAUAAGAGUAGAUGUUGCAUGACAUUUGCUUAAAAGGUGCAAUUGCACCACUACCAGAUGGACCUGCGUUGUAUUAGCUAGUUGGUGGGGUAACGGCUCACCAAGGCGACGAUACAUAGCCGACCUGAGAGGGUGAUCGGCCACACUGGGACUGAGACACGGCCCAGACGCCUACGGGAGGCAGCAGUAGGGAAUCUUCGGAAAUGGACGGAAGUCUGACCGAGCAACGCCGCGUGAGUGAAGAAGGUUUUCGGAUCGUAAAGCUCGGUUGUAAGAGAAGAACGAGUGUGAGAGUGGAAAGUUCACACUGUGACGGUAUCUUACCAGAAAGGGACGGCUAACUACGUG